This 300-nucleotide ribosomal RNA is filed under the name uncultured soil bacterium. RNAcentral's name for it is "bacterial SSU rRNA". It matches the Rfam family "Bacterial small subunit ribosomal RNA", at positions 26 to 351 of the family's 1533-position model. The record is from RNAcentral.
AGAACGAACGCUGGCGGCAGGCUUAUCACAUGCAAGUCGAACGGUUGUAGCAAUACAGCAGUGGCAGACGGGUGAGUAACACGUGGGAACCUUCCUAGGGGUACGGAACAACUCAGGGAAACUUGAGCUAAUACCGUAUACGUCCGUGAGGAGAAAGUUUUAACGCCCCUAGACGGGCCCGCGUAGGAUUAGGUAGUUGGUGAGGUAACGGCUCACCAAGCCUACGAUCCUUAGCUGAUCUGAGAGGAUGAUCAGCCACACUGGGACUGAGACACGGGCCCAGACUCCUACGGGAGGCAG